AAUCAACGCUGGCGGCGUGCCUAACACAUGCAAGUCGAACGCGAAAGCCCGCAAGGGUAAGUAGAGUGGCGCACGGGUGAGUAACACGUGGACAACCUGCCUUCGAGUGGGGAAUAACCUUCCGAAAGGAGGGCUAAUACCGCAUAACACCUCGGGACACAAGUUCUGGGGUUGAAAAGAGCAAUUUGCUCGAAGAGGGGUCCGCGCCUGAUUAGCUAGUUGGUGAGGUAACGGCUCACCAAGGCUUCGAUCAGUAGCCGUCCUGAGAGGGAGCACGGCCACACUGGAACUGAGACACGGUCCAGACUCCUACGGGAGGCAGCAGUGGGG
RNAcentral lists this ribosomal RNA (330 nucleotides) under uncultured bacterium. Its description in RNAcentral is "bacterial SSU rRNA". It matches the Rfam family "Bacterial small subunit ribosomal RNA", at positions 32 to 359 of the family's 1533-position model. The record is from RNAcentral.